UGGAGGCUCAUUGAAUAGGAGAAUUAAUGUCGACUUAAACUGACAAAAUUGGCUUCAGGAAAGAAACACCUGAGGAGUGGCAAAUUUUUCAGGCCACACAUUACCUGGAGCUAAGAGCACAGAUGACCUGGUCACAGAUCAUCCCCACUGAUACUGCACUGACUACAUGGGAUGUGCCAUAAUGGCCCAGGGAUGGAAAUGUGCUUUGAUUCAACUCCCCUUUGUGUUUCUUUCUUCAAAAGUUACAAAAUGCCUGAAAACUCUUAUCCCUCCAACUGUGCCUUUGAUCCUAAUCCUUGCCUCUCCAAUUUUUCCUAUUUUCCUUUUUUUGCUCUGUCCAUUUUUCUCCUGAUGAAAUGCACUGAGAUUGCUGCCUUUUUGCUAAGGACUAUUAUGUAAAUGUAGGUUUUGUAAUUAUUAAGGUCUGGUUGAAAUUUAAGUUAUGUAUAUGCAGUACCUAAGCAAGCAUGGUAUUUUUCUGGCUCAUCACAAUACAUGCCAUCUCAGCUAUUCCUUCUGAUAACACCCGUUUAACAAAUAUACAUGUAUGAUGCUUGAUUUGAUGAUUGUGAGUAUUUUUGAGAUUUUUGAUUCUGAAGUUAUGUAUGUCUUGUAUUUUACAGAAAGAGCAUCUUUGUCUAUAUAAUAAUCUUGUGGACUCCUACAGUUUUCAAAAGAAUUGUCUUAAUGGCAGUGUUCAUUCUCUUAGUAUUAACAGUUCUCAAAUUAUGUAUUGAAAGAGAUCAUAAUGGUAUAUCUGGAAUUGUUUUAAGUUUUUAAAAUUUCAGCUGUGGAUUAAUUUAUUUUUCUAGUAAUUGUAUAAACUUAAUAUUGUAUCAGUAUAACACAAUAUUGUUCAAUUUGUGAUAUUGUAAAGGUUCUUUGCUAGGCUUCUGUGCAAAUCUCUUUUUAUUGUUUUUCAUUCACUGGGCUCGGUUUUAAGAUAGCAGUUUGUGGUCUUGUGAAUAGUUAUUGUGGUUGUAUAAAUCCAAUUAAGGAUGUUCCUUGUUUUUUGAUUUGAACAGAAGUUUUUGAUCAAUAUCUGGCUUUAUGGUGUUCUCCUUUAUUGUCUGUUGCACUUGCAACUUGGAUAACAAAACCUUUAAAAAAAAAAGUACCAUGAUGUUGAGUUCCAUUCUCGUGAAGAUGCAGUAUUUGAACUCUGGAUUUCAUUUCAAGGAAGUAAUUAUGUAGAAACAUAUCCAACUCUUGUGAAAUCUGCUUGAAAUGUAACUUGUAAAACAGUGUUGUGUGAUGUAUGUUCUGUGAAAAUACAUGAAUUAUACUAAUCUACUGA
Rhincodon typus (whale shark) is the source of this 1297-nucleotide long non-coding RNA. RefSeq lists it as uncharacterized. The record is from RefSeq and is a predicted model, not a curated record. The transcript has 2 exons. NCBI's taxonomy places the organism in Eukaryota, Metazoa, Chordata, Chondrichthyes, Orectolobiformes, Rhincodontidae.